GAUAAACGCUGGCGGCGUGCUUUAUGCAUGCAAGUCGAACGGUCUUGAUUUAUCAAGAUAGUGGCAAACGGGUGAGUAACGCGUAAGUAACCUGCCUCUAAGUUGGGGAUAGUCUCGGGAAACUGAGGUUAAUACCGUAUGUGAUGGUGAAGGUAAAGCUUCAUCAUUAAAGCCUUAGGGCGCUUGGAGAGGGGCUUGCGUCCGAUUAGCUUGUUGGUGAGGUAACGGCCCACCAAGGCUAUGAUCGGUAGCUGGUCUGAGAGGAUGAUCAGCCACACUGGGACUGGGACACGGCCCAGACUCCUACGGGAGGCAGCAGCAAGGAAUAUUGUGCAAUGGGCGAAAGCCUGACACAGCGACGUCGCGUGAGGGAUGAAGGCCUUCGGGUUGUAAACCUCUUUUCUCAGGGAAGAAUAAUGACGGUACCUGAGGAAUAAGUCUCGGCUAACUACGUGCCAGCAGCCGCGGUAAUACGUAGGAGGCAAGCGUUAUCCGGAUUUAUUGGGCGUAAAGAGGGUGUAGGUGGCUCUUCAAGUCGGAUGUGAAAUCUCCCGGCUCAACCGGGAGGGGUCAUUCGAUACUGCUGGGCUAGAGUGCAGUAGAGGGAGGUGGAAUUCCCGGUGUAGUGGUGAAAUGCGUAGAUAUCGGGAGGAACACCAGUGGCGAAGGCGGCCUCCUGGGCUGUUACUGACACUGAGACCCGAAAGCGUGGGUAGCAAACAGGAUUAGAUACCCUGGUAGUCCACGCCGUAAACGAUGGACACUAGGUAUGGGGAGUAUCGACCCUCUCCGUGCCGGAGCUAACGCAUUAAGUGUCCCGCCUGGGGAGUACGGUCGCAAGACUAAAACUCAAAGGAAUUGACGGGGGCCCGCACAAGCAGCGGAGCGUGUGGUUUAAUUCGAUGCAACACGAAAAACCUUACCAAGGCUUGACAUGUCGGAAGUAGGAACCUGAAAGGGGGACGACCUGUUAAGUCAGGAACCGUCACAGGUGCUGCAUGGCUGUCGUCAGCUCGUGCCGUGAGGUGUCGGGUUAAGUCCCAUAACGAGCGCAACCCCUAUUGCUAGUUAAUUUCUCUAGCGAGACUGCCCUGCAAAACGGGGAGGAAGGUGGGGAUGACGUCAAGUCAGCAUGGCCCUUAUGCCUUGGGCUACACACACGCUACAAUGGGU
RNAcentral lists this ribosomal RNA (1173 nucleotides) under PCB-dechlorinating bacterium OTU-8. RNAcentral's name for it is "bacterial SSU rRNA". It matches the Rfam family "Bacterial small subunit ribosomal RNA", at positions 28 to 1235 of the family's 1533-position model. The record is from RNAcentral.